RNAcentral lists this ribosomal RNA (936 nucleotides) under Triticum aestivum (bread wheat). RNAcentral's name for it is "partial small subunit ribosomal RNA". The record is from RNAcentral. Lineage: Eukaryota; Viridiplantae; Streptophyta; Magnoliopsida; Poales; Poaceae.
AUGGGCCUGGAGGAAGGCGAGAAGCCGCACGCCGUGUGCCUGCCGGCACUGGCGCAAGGGCACAUCACGCCGAUGCUGGAGAUGGCCAAGCUCCUGCACGCCCGGGGCUUCCACUUCACCUUCGUCAACACCGAGUUCAACCAUCGCCGGCUGCUCCGCUCCCGCGGGACGGCGGCACUCGACGGCCUCCCGAGCUUCCGCUUCGCCGCGAUACCAGACGGGCUCCCCCCGUCAGAGGCCGACGCCACCCAGGACGUCCCCGCCCUGUGUUACGCCAUGGCGACCACCUUUCUCCCCCACCUCCAGGCCCUUCUUGCCAAGCUCAACGACCCGAGCUCCGGGGUGCCGCCGAUCACCUGCCUCGUCGUCGACGGUGUCGCAUCGUUCAGCUACGAUGCCGCGGAGGAGCUCGGCGUGCCUUGCGUCGCGUUGUGGACGUCCAGUGCCUGCGGGUUCAUGGGAUACCGCCACUUCCGUCGGCUUAUCGACCGUGGUCUUGUGCCUUUCAAAGACGAGGAGCAGCUGACGGACAACGGGCAUCUCGACACGGCGGUCGACGGCAUGAGCGGCAUGUGCGACGGCAUACGGCUGCGCGACUUCCCGACGAUGAUCCGCACCACCGACCGCGACGACAUCAUCCUCAACUACUCAACUACGUCAUGCGCGAGGCCGAGAGGCUGUCGCUCCCAGACGCCGUCCUGCUCAACACCUUCGACGCACUCGAGCAGCCGGUUCUCGACGCCAUGCGCGCCGUCCUCCCGCCCAUGUACACCGUCGGUCCGCUGCAUCUCCACACCAGCAACGUCGUCCCCACCGGCACCCCGCUCGACGGCCUCGGCUCCAACCUCUGGAAGGAGCAGGACGGCCUCCUCGCGUGGCUCGACGGGCACGGCGCCGGAGCCGUCGUGUACGUCAACUACGGAAGCGUCGCCGUGA